RNAcentral lists this non-coding RNA (23 nucleotides) under Cricetulus griseus (Chinese hamster). The record is from RNAcentral. Lineage: Eukaryota; Metazoa; Chordata; Mammalia; Rodentia; Cricetidae.
GUCAAGAAGGAAGGCUUAACCCC